RNAcentral lists this unclassified non-coding RNA (6083 nucleotides) under Anthonomus grandis grandis. RNAcentral describes it as "g patch domain-containing protein 1 homolog". The record is from RNAcentral. Lineage: Eukaryota; Metazoa; Arthropoda; Insecta; Coleoptera; Curculionidae.
CUUGUUAUUCUGAUCUAAGAAAACGAAAAAAUAAACAACAAAACUUCAAUAAAGUAAAAAUAAGUAGGUUUAAGUGUGGAUAUAAACUGAAAAACUUUAAGAAAAACAAUUUUACUGAUAAUGUCGGGAUCCGAUUCAGAGCCUGAAAACCACUGCUACUAUGGCACACCUCUUCCUGCAUAUGAUGAAGAUUCCAUCCCAAGAAAACGUCCAAUAACAGUAGAAGAACAAAUUGCCACUGAUGCCCAGGGACGGCGUAGAUUUCAUGGAGCCUUCACAGGGGGAUUUUCAGCUGGCUUUUUUAACACAGUGGGUUCCCUGGAGGGUUGGACACCAAAGGAGUUUAAAAGUUCAAGAUCAGAAAAGACUAGCCAUCUCUCUCAGAAACCAGAAGAUUUCAUGGAUGAUGAAGAUUUGGGUGAAGAUGGAUUUGCUCCUCAAGUUGUUAGGGCUACCAAUGAGUAUAAUACUAGUAGGAAAAGAAAGAAACAGGUUUUUUCUGAAGGUCCAAUCCCAGGUGAACCAGUUCUACAUAACAUAUUUUCCAGUGGAAAUGAAACUAUUGGUUACAUGCUUUUAAAGAACUUGAGACUAAAAGAUCACAAGAAGCAAAAAGAGUCAGGUUCAGAAAGAACUUAUGGAUGUCAAAUGCCAAAGCCAGAUGAAAGUGAUAUUAUAUUUAAAGAAGAGAAUCAAUAUCAAAUACCAGCCAUUUAUAAAGAUUUUUUAAAAACCCCAAAAACGAAUACAUUUGGUUUAGGGUAUAGUGGCUUGGACAAAAGUCAAUUUAGUUUAUUUUCCACAGAGGAGAAACAGUCAAGCAAGUUAAUGAUGACUGAUAAAAACAACAAGAAAUUAUCAAUAAGUGGUCAGGCCUUUGGGGUGGGGGCAUUUGAAGAUGAAGAUGAUGAUAUUUAUAUGAAGGAAGAUAUGACAAGAUAUGAUUUUGAGUUAACAGGAGAAAAAGCGAAAAAAGAACAGCAAAAAACUCAGAGUAAUCUCAUUUUUGACUUGUUCGUGCAGUCCAAGGUGAACCCUGUAUUGAAGAGUAAUGUAAAGUUUCCUCCGCCUACCAUCCCAUAUAGUUUCACAGGAAAACACAAAAUUAAAAAAAGCAGGUUCGAGCCAAUUCCUGAAAAUGAGGCAGUUUCAAGCACAAUCAAAAUAAAUCCAAUGAUCAGGGCAAAAUAUCUUGGAGAGGAUACUAAUGAACAUAUUACUCCAUCCAAACCAGUUAAAGUGAAAGAAGAGACCUUAGAUAAUAAACCAAAGGAGACUUCUAAAAAAUUAGAGCCGUCUGGUUCUCAAGCUUCUUCAAAUAUUGACACAUAUUUAACAGACAGGUUUGUGUCAUCUUCAAAAGUCGAAGAUGUUAGCAACAUAUUAGAACCUGUGGAGAGGAUAGAAACUAUUCAUGGUACAGAUCAGAUGAGAGAUGCUGUGAGGAUGAAGAUGUUUGGCCCUUUGACAAGGGUUACGUCUGAUUGGGUUCCUUCUUCGCUUUUGUGUAAAAGGUUUAAUGUACCAGAACCUUUUGUUGAUCGACCUGAAAGCUCUAGGAAAAGAACCAAAAACAUAAUCUUCCAGUAUCAAAAGCACAUUGAAGAAGAGACUUUACAGCCUGGACUUAACAAGGAAGAACCGCCAAUACCUGAACUACCUGAAGGCUCUAUUGAACCAGAAAUUAAACAAGAAAAUGAUCCUGUUACGAAUAAAACUACAGAUGAAAAUAACACCCAAGAACCAGAAAUAAACGAGAAAAAUAUUAGUGCGGAUAAAACUUGUGUGGAAGACUUAACAGCGAAAAUAGACUUGGAAAGCAAACAAGAUUUGUUUAAAGCUAUAUUUAUGAGCAGUGAUAGUGAAUCUGAUGAAGAACGUCAAGAAAAUAAAAACGAAGUUUCCACCAAUAAAGCAGAUAAUGAAAAACAAAACGAAUUAAAAACCGCAGUGCUUUCGGACCAGUUAAUCCCAAAAAUUAUCCCCAGAAAAGAAGGAAUUUUGUCAGGUAUCGAUUGCCGGACAUUUUCAAUGCCUGUUGUUAAAACAGAAAAAAAAAUUCCUGAAAAUAUCCCGAAAGAAGAAUUAAAUGAUGGCUGGUAUGGACCAAAACUUCCUGAACAGAAGACUUCUCAGAAGACUGUAACUGUGACGGUGGUAUCUAGCGACAGUGAAGACGAGUGGGUAGAAAAAGGGGAGAGCACUAAAAAGAAGAAAAAAAAUAAAAAGGAGAAGAAACAUAAAAAACAUAAAAAGAAUAAGCAUGAGAAGAGUCAUAAGUAUAAGGACUGAUUUUAGUUUUCAAGUCUGUGGAGUAACUGUGAUAUUGAUUUGUAGGUAUUAAGACUUGUAGAAAUAUACUACUCAAAAUAAUUAUUUUAUAUUUAAUCAUAAAAUCGUGAAUGCUGUCUUAAUAUCCAACAAUAAUUAUACAACAACUUUUUUAAAUUAAACUAAUCGUUACACAUUUUUUUCCUUUUCACUGGAAAAUGUUAUACAUUCUUAAAUUUACUUUAUCAGAAAUUAUUGGAUUUUGAAUAUUAACAACAUGAACAAUGAUAACAGAUGACACACAAGGCAUUUAACGGAAGCUUACACUGUUAUUACAUUGUCUGGUCAAGGAUUUAAUCAAGAAAGAAUUGCACGUAAUGUACAUGUAGUACAAUCGUCAAUAAGUAGGGUCUUCAAGUCGAUACAGGGAUACUCUGGCAUUCACUAAACGUCAAGGACGUGUAAGGGCAAUAACAGCGGCACAGGAUCGACUCUACCACCCAGAAUAACGGCUAGAAAUUUACAAAAUCAACUGACACGAGUUUAUCAGAUAAGGAUUAGUCAUGAGACAGAAGCAGACUGAGAAAAAAUAAUUUAAGACCAAAAAGAGUAGCAACUGGUUCACUGUUCACAUGACAACAUCAUGCUGCCAGAUUAGCAUUUGCUAGAGAAUACAUCAACUGGAGGGCUAUAGCAUUCUCUCUCUGUCUGACGAGUCAAGACAAAAGAACUGGAAACAGAUUCAAACAAACCCGUAUUCGUAAAGUUAGAUGCUUUUGGUGGAGGAGGUUUAUGGUUUGGGGAGGAGUUUACCUAGGUAUUCGUACUGACCUCCAUAUAUCCCAACUGCUGAAAGGCGUAUUAGACAUUUUGCGAAAGUAAGUUAUCCGUUUUGCCCUAUUUGUUGUUAAUAAUUUCAUAUUAAUGCAUCAUAAUUUUCCACAACACACAGUCCGCAUACUGAGAUUCUUGCAAGAUACGGAUAUUGAGAUAAUGAAUUGUGCAGCUAGGUCGCCAGGUUUCUUCCAAUAGAAUACACGUGGGAUGCACUCGGAAGGACUGUUAGAAGCAAUUUAAAUCCACCAGAAGUCCUAUGUUUAAAAUAUGAUUAUACCUAUUGCAAAGACUCUGCAGGGCAUUCAUAAGAGCAAGAGGAGGCAAUACUGAAUACUAAUUUAUUUUAUUUUAUUAGAAACUGUGUAAUAGAUACAAUGGUUAAUUAUAUUGUUAAGUUUUAAUUUAAAUAAAACACUUGUUUUAUAGGGCCAAUUAUUUCUUUAUUUUUUUAGUAAAAUGUUGAAAAAAGUUUUUAUUUUUUCUCAGGGCACUUAUAAGUUAUACGGAAUAGUAUUUAAAUUUAUUUUUCAUGUAAACAAAAAUAAAAUUGGCAUAAAAAAUAUAUAAUAUGGUAGAUAACUGUUUUGAGUAGUUUAUGUCCAAGAGUUUUAGGGGAAGGUGUCCUAAAAUGACAUAAUUUUUAUUUAAAUCUUGUUUAUGCAAAAACCAUUUAAGAUAAUUAACUCAAAAUAAUACACCACGUUGCUUUAAAUAAACUUUAUUGACAAACAUAAACAAUAUUUCAACUCUAUUUAAAACUUGUAAGAAAAUGCAUUUUAAAAAACGUUACACUAUGUCGUUUUACAAACAUGUAUAUUGUAAAAUGACACAGUCGUGGGGUAUAAAAUGACAUAUACUUAAAACAAGUGAUAACACAAAUAGAACUUAUAAAAUAUAGUUAAAGAAAGUAAGCUAAUAAGGAAUGAGUCUUGGCAAAUCUCGCAAAUAAACUUUUCGACCUUUGGAGAAACUCCAGCACAUUCGCAAUGUGCCCAAUUGUGGCACUUCAUACAACUAAUCCAAGACUCCCUGGAUCGAGAAUUUUUGAAUAGAUCGUUGCAAUACAGGCAUGCCACUUCAUCCUCGGCUGCAAAAGGAUCUUCUUCACUUUCGCUUCGUGCAACAAAACUUGUCUCACCUGAAAGGUUCUUUUUAAAUUGACGCACAUUUUUUCACAAUUUCUUUUCUUUCUUUAUCUUUAACUUUUCUAAAUUGGGAGUAGUUGUUAAGACUCCGGUUAUAGUUUGUCUGGUCUUCCUUUUUUUUGGUUCCUCUUGCUACAGGCACUGGCGGAAUUUCCUGUAGAGAAAACCUUUUCCUUAAUGGUUGAUUUUGUUUUAUAUUGCUUUCUGUCUGAUCACCUCUCGGUUCAUUUUCUUUAUCGACACUUUUGCCUUGUUUUUGUCGCAUUGCUUCUUCUGUAACACUAAUUACUGUUAUUUCAUUGCUUGUUGAUGGUUGUUCUGGACGAUGGGAUGCUCCCUCUUCUAUGGUCGGUUCUAAUAAUCUAUUUGUUGUCUCAGCCGGCUCAAAAAACUCGUCUGGGAAAAUAUGUGGAUUAAAUGGAUAAAUUCCCGUAUUUAAAAAUGCGCUUGUGGCAUUUUUAAUUGUAGCUGCUUUCCCGUAAGCGGACGUAAACAGUUCACCAAUUUCAUGUAGUGUUAUUACUCUCCCUGGAUGGUUUUUCAACCAAAGUGCACAUUCCUGGUUAUAAAAUGUCUUUAGUGAUUUAGAGAUUUUAGAGACCAUAGAAGCUGACAUCCAGGGGCUGCAUAGGAUGGGUACAGUGGGCAGGAAAGCAUAAAGGGAUUAUUCCAUUUCUUCUGGCAAACGUCAAGGCAUUUAAUGAUUUGUGGCUAGUGUGCCCAUCCAGAAGUAAUAAAACUUUUGAGUUGGGAGAAGCUUUAACAAAAGUCUUAAAAAUGCUUUAACCACAAAGCAAAGGAAUCAGAUGUCAUCCAUCCAGUCUCGUUAAAUAAUCCCAAAGAACUUGGAGGUAAAGCAUCUAAAAGUUCCUCCUUUCUAUUUUUCCUAGGGAAAAUCAAAGCAGGUGGCACAAAAUUACCUACACUAUUCAUGCAGCAAACACAUGUUACAUGCUGACCUCUUUCAGCACUGGUUAAUGAUCCUACUUGUUUUCUUCCAGUUUUGGCAAAAAUUUUUGAAGGCCUUUGCACUGUGGACAAACCACUUUCGUCCAUAUUGUAAAUCCGAUGCACAUCAAUUUUUUCUUUUUUUAGGGUAUUUUCCAAUGUAUUAAAAAAAUUUUGCACUUGUGGCCUAUUAAAUGCCGUGGCUCUAGCCGCAGACACAGCUUCAGGCUGCCUUAGAGAUAUUUCAGGAUGUCGCAUAUGAAAUCCUCUCAGCCACUCUCGUCCAGCGCUACGAUCUUUAAAUCUAUUUGGAAUGCCAUUUUUAGUGGCAAACUCAUACGCAAGUUUCUUUAUAUCUGUUGUUGUUAUCCCGAACAAUCUAGGCUCAAGUAAUAAAUAGUAUAUGCUCAACUAACUCUCUUUCUUCGUCUUCAUUAAAUGUGGUUGGAAACCGACCCAAAACUUUCUGACAACCCUUAGCUCUUUUGUUUGUAUCAUUUGCUCUUUGCCUUAAUGUGGCUUGGGGGACAUUGAACAAUUUCGAUGCUUUCAGCCACCCCAUUUGGCCACCUUUUACAGCGUUAAUUGCACUUUGCAUUGCUUGUUCAUCCCACGAUUGUCUAGUUGAUGUUCUUUCACGUUUUCCUACCAUAAUGUAACUAAAAAUAAACAAAAAAUACAAUAUUCCUUAAAUUUAAAUUAAUUUGAUGUUUGUUUGUAAAAUGACAUAGUGUGCCAUUUUACCUUCAUGCCUAUCUGUAUCGUUUUACCCGCAGUAACAGAUAGUCCUUUGUUAAUGCAGAAUAAUCUUAUUUCAUAUUAAACGACAUUUCCGCUCACGUGAAUCUGAAGUAUACACUUACAUUUAAAUACUAAGUUGGA